CCUGUCAGAUUAACGCUAGGGGGAUGCUUUACACAUGCAAGUCGAACGGCAGCGCGAGAGAGCUUGCUCUCUUGGCGGCGAGUGGCGGACGGGUGGUAAUAUAUCGGAACGUGCCCAGUAGCGGGGGAUAACUACUCGAAAGAGUGGCUAAUACCGCAUACGCCCUACGGGGGAAAGGGGGGGAUCGCAAGACCUCUCACUAUUGGAGCGGCCGAUAUCGGAUUAGCUAGUUGGUGGGGUAAAGGCUCACCAAGGCAACGAUCCGUAGCUGGUUUGAGAGGACGACCAGCCACACUGGGACUGAGACACGGCCCAGACUCCUACGGGGGCAGCAGUGGGGAAUUUUGGACAAUGGGGGAAACCCUGAUCCAGCCAUCCCGCGUGUAUGAUGAAGGCCUUCGGGUUGUAAAGUACUUUUGGCAGAGAAGAAAAGGUACCUCCUAAUACGAGGUACUGCUGACGGUAUCUGCAGAAUAAGCACCGGCUAACUACGGCCAGCAGCCGCGGUAAUACGUAGGGUGCAAGCGUUAAUCGGAAUUACUGGGCGUAAAGCGUGUGUAGGCGGUUCGGAAAGAAAGAUAAAAAUUUUCAGGGCUCAACCUUGGAACUGCAUUUUUAAGGUGCCGAGCUAGAGUAUGUCAGAGGGGGGUAGAAUUCCACGUGUAGCAGUGAAAUGCGUAGAUAUGUGGAGGAAUACCGAUGGCGAAGGCAGCCCCCUGGGAUAAUACUGACGCUCAGACACGAAAGCGUGGGGAGCAAACAGGAUUAGAUACCCUGGUAGUCCACGCCCUAAACGAUGUCAACUAGCUGUUGGGGCCGUUAGGCCUUAGUAGCGCAGCUAACGCGUGAAGUUGACCGCCUGGCCCCAACGGUCGCAAGAUUAAAACUCAAAGGAAUUGACGGGGACGCACAAGCGGUGGAUGAUGUGGAUUAAUUCGAUGCAACGCGAAAAACCUUACCUACCCUUGACAUGUCUGGAAAGCCGAAGAGAUUUGGCCGUGCUCGCAAGAGAACGGGAACACAGGUGCUGCAUGGCUGUCGUCAGCUCGUGUCGUGAGAUGUUGGGUUAAGUCCCGCAACGAGCGCAACCCUUGUCAUUGUUGCUACGCAAGAGACUCUAAUGAGACUGCCGGUGACAAACCGGAGGAAGGUGGGGAUGACGUCUUUCCCUCAUGGCCCUUAUGGGUAGGGCUUCACACGUCAUACAAUGGUCGGGACAGAGGGUCGCCAACCCGCGAGGGGGAGCCAAUCUCAGAAACCCGAUCGUAGUCCGGAUCGCAGUCUGCAACUCGACUGCGUGAAGUCGGAAUCGCUAGUAAUCGCGGAUCAGAAUGUCGCGGUGAAUACGUUCCCGGGUCUUGUACACACCGCCCGUCACACCAUGGGAGUGGGUUUCACCAGAAGUAGGUAGCCUAACCGUAAGGAGGG
This 1428-nucleotide ribosomal RNA is filed under the name Alcaligenes faecalis. RNAcentral's name for it is "bacterial SSU rRNA". It matches the Rfam family "Bacterial small subunit ribosomal RNA". Lineage: Bacteria; Pseudomonadati; Pseudomonadota; Betaproteobacteria; Burkholderiales; Alcaligenaceae. The record is from RNAcentral.